CCUACGGGGGGCAGCAGUCGAGAAUUAUUCACAAUGGGGGAAACCCUGAUGGUGCGACGCCGCGUGGGGGAAUGAAGGUCUUCGGAUUGUAAACCCCUGUCAUGUGGGAGCAAAUUAAAAAGAUAGUACCACAAGAGGAAGAGACGGCUAACUCUGUGCCAGCAGCGGCGGUAAUACAGAGGUGUCAAGCGUUGUUCGGAAUCACUGGGCGUAAGGCGUGCGUAGGCUGUUUCGUAAGUAGUGUGUGAAAGGCGCGGGCUCAACCCGCGGACGGCACAUGAUACUGCGAGACUAGAGUAAUGGAGGGGGAACCGGAAUUCUCGGUGUAGCAGUGAAAUGCGUAGAUAUCGAGAGGAACACUCGUGGCGAAGGCGGGUUCCUGGACAGUAACUGACGCUGAGGCACGAAGGCCAGGGGAGCGAAAGGGAUUAGAUACCCGAGUAGUC
Molecule: ribosomal RNA, 446 nt
Filed under: uncultured bacterium
Lineage: Bacteria
Description: partial 16S ribosomal RNA
Rfam family: Bacterial small subunit ribosomal RNA
Source: RNAcentral